RNAcentral lists this ribosomal RNA (490 nucleotides) under uncultured bacterium. RNAcentral describes it as "partial 16S ribosomal RNA". It matches the Rfam family "Bacterial small subunit ribosomal RNA", at positions 30 to 507 of the family's 1533-position model. The record is from RNAcentral.
AUUGAACGCUGGCGGCAGGCCUAACACAUGCAAGUCGAACGGUAACAGGAAACAGCUUGCUGUUUCGCUUUCGAGUGGCGGACGGGUGUGUAAUGUCUGGGAAACUGCCUGAUGGCGGGGGUUAACUACUGGAAACGGUAGCUAAUACCGCAUAACGUCGCAAGACCAUAGUUGGGGACCUUCGGGCCUCUUGCCUUCCGAUGUUCCCAGAUGGGAUUAGCUAGUAGGUGGGGUAACGGCUCACCUAGGCGACGAUCCAUAGCUGGUCUGAGAGGAUGACCAGCCACACUGGAACUGAGACACGGUCCAGACUCCUACGGGAGGCAGCAGUGGGGAAUAUUGCACAAUGGGCGAAAGCCUGAUGCAGCCAUGCCGCGUGUAUGAAGAAGGCCUUCGGGUUGUAAAGUACUUUCAGCGGGGAUGAAGGGAGUAAAGUUAAUACCUGUGCUCAUUGACGUUACCCGCAGAAGAAGCACCGGCUAACUCCGUG